Molecule: RNA transcript, 1292 nt
Organism: Papaver somniferum (opium poppy)
Lineage: Eukaryota; Viridiplantae; Streptophyta; Magnoliopsida; Ranunculales; Papaveraceae
Gene name: protein argonaute 2-like
Exons: 10
Source: RefSeq, a predicted model, not a curated record
CCUUGUUGAUUUCUUCUACCACUCCGAGUUUCCCAAAUUUCUUUCUGAGAUUCUCCAUUUGAGUUUUCAAGCCAUGUCUUAUAGUUUCUCUUCUCACCUUUCGGAACCUAAUCAUUUCAUUUCCAUCAAUUUUCAAACUUCUAGGGUUGGUUUGUUGCAGGAUGGGGGAAAAUACUUUGUGUUCCGGUUUGUUCGUAUUGGGCAGGAUAAUGGUGGGAUUGGUAGAUAAUCAGAAACGUCAGGGUGCAAACCGGAUGUACAAUCAGAAAUGGGUUGUACCUUGUUACAAAAGAUGCUUGUCUGCACCAGCUGUUAUUAGCAAGCCAUGUCCAAGUUCAACCGUUUAUGUUGUGAAGUUUGUGGUCCCAACUAACAGCUGAUGAAGCUUGUAAGAAGAAAACAAGUUAAACAACUUUAAUUCACCAAAUUUCAUCACUCCAGGCGAUCAUUUCUUUGAUGCUUUUCCACAUAUUUAUGAUACAGUGAAAGGGAAUCAUCAGGAUGAUGAGGAUGCACUGUUGGAGAGGAGAAAACUCCAGUGUCAUGCUUCAGUCAUCAAGGGUGAAUCUAGUUUCUUUGUUAGUGAGACUCCAACUAUGAUAUUGGGAAUGGAUGUUUCUCAUGGGUCACCAGGUCAAUCAGAUAUCACAUCAGUUGAUGCUGUUGUUGGUUCUACAUCUUGGUCCUUGCCCUCAAGGUACAAGGCAUUUGUAUGUACCCAAUCCCCUCAAGUGGAGUUGAUCGGCUGCUUGUAUAAAGUAUUACCAAAUGGGGAGGAUGACGGAAUUAUGAGGAAUGGAGUGAGUGAGUCUCAAUUCAACCAAGUAUUGAACGUCAAGUUGGAGCAGAUCAUUAAGGUUGUUGGUUCUGGAUGUUGGCCCUUAAUUUUAAGCCACAGAGCUUCUGUACGUUCCCAAUCCCCGGUGGAGAUGAGUGGCUCCUUGUACAAAGUAUUGCCAAAUGGAAUUAAUUAUGACGUGGGAGCUUUUGAUGGUUUUCUACCAGACAAGUAAUGGGAGAAAGCCAAACCAAAUUAUCAUUUUUAGGGAUGGAGUGAGUAAGUCUCGAUUCAAACAAGUAUCGAACGUUGAGUUGGAGCAGAUCAUUAAGGCAAUAACUCACUUGGGAGAAAUAAAGCUUCAGUUCAUGCUAAUUGUCGCGCAAAAAGCUGGUGGCUGCACCGAGAAUGUUACACCAGGUUUCACUUUGUUCUCCUUUAAACUCUGUGCAUCUCUGUACAGUCUGCGGUUUUCCCUGUUUAAGAAUAUUAGCUUUCCAAAUUCCAUUCUUUA